This 95-nucleotide signal recognition particle RNA is filed under the name Ruminococcus sp. Its description in RNAcentral is "signal recognition particle sRNA small type". It matches the Rfam family "Bacterial small signal recognition particle RNA". Rfam says of the family: The signal recognition particle (SRP) is a universally conserved ribonucleoprotein involved in the co-translational targeting of proteins to membranes. Archaeal SRP consists of a 7S RNA and homologues of the eukaryotic SRP19 and SRP54 proteins. In most bacteria, the SRP consists of a 4.5S RNA and the Ffh protein (a homologue of the eukaryotic SRP54 protein). Lineage: Bacteria; Bacillati; Bacillota; Clostridia; Eubacteriales; Oscillospiraceae. The record is from RNAcentral.
UGCGGGUAUUUUUGCAACGAUAAACCGCGAACCGUGUCAGGCGGGGAACCGAGCAGCACUAAGUGAAUUUACCGUGUGCUGAAAUCCCCGUACAC